RNAcentral lists this ribosomal RNA (259 nucleotides) under uncultured prokaryote. RNAcentral describes it as "partial 16S ribosomal RNA". It matches the Rfam family "Bacterial small subunit ribosomal RNA", at positions 524 to 782 of the family's 1533-position model. The record is from RNAcentral.
UACGGAGGAUCCAAGCGUUAUCCGGAUUUAUUGGGUUUAAAGGGUGCGUAGGCGGGAGAUUAAGUCGGUGGUGAAAUUUUGCAGCUUAACUGUAACAGUGCCGUUGAUACUGGGGAGCUAGGAUUUGGUUGCUGUGGGUGGAAUGUGUGGUGUAGCGGUGAAAUGCUUAGAGAUCACACAGAAUAUCGAUUGCGAAGGCAGCUCACAAAGCCAAGAUUGACGCUGAGGCACGAAAGUGUGGGGAUCAAACAGGAUUAGA